UACGAAGGGGGCAAGCGUUGUUCGGAAUUACUGGGCGUAAAGGGCGCGUAGGCGGCCCUUAAAGUCAGGCGUGAAAGCCCCGGGCUCAACCUGGGAAUUGCGCUUGAUACUUUAGGGCUUGAGUACGGGAGAGGAGAGUGGAAUUCCCAGUGUAGAGGUGAAAUUCGUAGAUAUUGGGAAGAACACCGGUGGCGAAGGCGGCUCUCUGGACCGUAACUGACGCUGAGGCGCGAAAGCGUGGGGAGCAAACAGG
This 253-nucleotide ribosomal RNA is filed under the name uncultured bacterium. Its description in RNAcentral is "partial 16S ribosomal RNA". It matches the Rfam family "Bacterial small subunit ribosomal RNA", at positions 524 to 776 of the family's 1533-position model. The record is from RNAcentral.